GUCUGGGAUGAAAAUUUCAGGAACUGAAUUUUCGGCUCUCCCUUGACACCAUUUGCGAGUAUGGUCUCGAGGAAACGAUGAUAGUCCGUCGGAAGGGGACGAUAAAUGGCCGACCCGUGUUAAGAGAGAGCCAUAUCUCUUGCACGUUAAAGACACCCUUGUAGAUUUCGAAAAAGAGCAGGCUAAUGCCGCUACAAGGCAGCACUCGCACCCGCAAAGUGG
Molecule: long non-coding RNA, 222 nt
Filed under: Mytilus galloprovincialis (Mediterranean mussel)
Lineage: Eukaryota; Metazoa; Mollusca; Bivalvia; Mytilida; Mytilidae
Source: RNAcentral